Molecule: long non-coding RNA, 40362 nt
Filed under: Eucalyptus grandis
Lineage: Eukaryota; Viridiplantae; Streptophyta; Magnoliopsida; Myrtales; Myrtaceae
Description: long non-coding RNA (EGRA_LNC001967)
Source: RNAcentral
UGAGAAAACCACCCUUGGUCGUUCUUUGCGCAUAGUACUCUGCAUGCACCGGCAAUGGAAUCCCAUUGAUCGCUCUGCAUCUCGUCAUAGGCGCUAGCACUACCCUGUGAGAGAGAUCGAACUUGCCCAUCUGGCAUGGAGUGAAUAGGUUCGCGGCCAUUUCGUGUGUAGCUUGUAUUCUGUCAAUAACGAACAACAAGGAUUGAUACUAAGAAUAUGAUGGUGAAGAUUUGAAGACGGUGCGAUGUGAGGUUGAUCAAUAUUGCUCAUCGGUUUUUAUAGUUUGGUGUUGCCAUUUGAACAUUGAAGCAAGAACUGGGAAGCUUCGCCGUAAUUCAGUUUGAACAUGGCUAGGUUUAAUUUUCUUAUGACUAAGUCGUCGCAUGUUGGGAAGGUCGAAUUGUAAUUUGCUUUCUUUAACCUCACUUUUCUCCUUGCCCUGCCAUGUGCUUUUUUGACUAUACAUGAGAAGAAUAAAAAAGUUGGGCGGCAUUUAGAUUUCAAUUCGGCCACUCAUGUAGGAAAUCUCAAGGGGGAGAAAAAGAAUAGUCUCGACAUGCCACUUUGCCUUCACUUAAGUCGGGCCUCCUGGAGUCAUGAGCACCGCAAAAGUAGCAAGGAGAGGUCCGGAGAGAGUUGGAAUAAACCCGUGCCUUCAUCUAUUGCAACCUUAUUUUAUGGAUUAUAUGGCGAGGAUAGUGAAUGAUGGUCGGGGCUUGCCCCUGGUCCAUGCCCAAUUCUCGCACCCUUUCAACAUUUUGUGUUGUUCUCCAUCAAGAUGAUGGAGCACUAAAAAUUAAAUAGUAGCAGUAGUAGUAGGAGUAGUAGCAGUAGGUAGCAGUAGAUGUAGGUAGCAGUAGUAGUAAUAUGGACAAUUGAAUAGGGAGAGAGAGAAAGCAAGUGAUGGUACUCCUAAGAGAGAUUGAACUUGCCCAUUGACAUGGAAUGAUGAGGUUCAAAGCCAUUUAACGUAGCUUAUAUCCAACUAAGAAUAAAUUUCCACACUCACAUUACAAACUCUCGAACAACACCGCUCACGUGCCAGCUUCUCUAGUGGCCAAUAAGAAAUAAAUAAACAUCAGUAGUAGUAGCAGCAGCAGCAGCAGUAGCAGCAGUAGUAGGAGUAGCAGUACUAGCUGUAGUAAUAGUAGUUGUAGCAGUAGUAGCAGUAGGAGGAGUAGCAGUAGGUAGCAGUAGCAGUAGGUAGCAGUAACAGUAGCAGUAGCAGUAGUAUGGACAAUAGAAUAAAGAGAGAGAGAAAGCAAGUGAUGAUACUCCUAUGAGAGAUUGAACUUGCCCAUUGACAUGGAAUGAUGACGUUCAAAGCCAUUGAGCGUAGCUUAUAUCCAACUAAGAAUGAACAAACCAAGAAGAUUAUAAAGCAUAACAUCGAGAACUGAAGAUGGCAGGCGAAGUUGGUAAAAGAGAAGGUCACAUCUAGCAUAAUUCCUUCUGAACAGACCAAGACGUCAUUGCCAUUUAGUAUAUUUCUUAUGCGCCAUCUAUAUGUAAUCUACCAUACUUAAUUCAAGAAACGACUAGAUUGGGAUAUUUUCACAAAAUCUAUUUGAGCUUGAAGCAAAGGGCCAAGCCGAAUGGGCAACGGGGAGAGGAAAUCUCCGUAAAAGCACAAUUAAUGUGGCACAAAGGGAGAGAAAUUCUAGAAUAUCGAUCAAAAUUACAAACAAAUUUAUGGAUAUACUAAAACCAAGAGAUUGACAACUUUUAUAACGUAAGGCUCUUUUCAUUCAUCAUUGUGAUUUGACUUUUAAUAUUCUCAUUGGGUCUUAUUUUAGAUUCCUCGCCUACCAUUAACCAUAUAAAAAAGAAACUGGACUAUAACAUUGGAGAUUGAAGAGAGAAAGCCCGGAAAAAAAGACAUAUAGAAAACAAAAUUGGUCUGCUAAGAAAGUUAUGAAAUCACUCUUUUAAAGCUAUAAUGCUCUCAAAGUACAAUUUAACCUCUCAAACUCUUUGAACAUAAACACAAGGAAAAUAGAAUAACUUUACUAAGAAAAGGAGUAUGCUUGUACAAGAAUAACGAACCAAUAUGUCUUGCGUAUAGACAAAAUCACUCGAUUGAGAUUGUUUAACUUCCGACAUACAUUUUUGUCUGAAAUGUUAAUAUUAAUUAAAAUAAAACUCAAAAUUGCUUAAGCACAACUUGCCAAGUCCAAUUAAGAUUAAAUAUAAUCAGGCGUAUUCAAUGGAAAAUGUCCGCUUGAGUGCCCAUGCCUUUAAAAAACAAAAACAUGGUUGCUUUCAUAUUCGAACAAAAUAGUUUCCUUCUUUUUUUCCUAUGUGGGACUCUUUUUUAUUUCCACACUCACAUUACAAACUCUCGAACAACACCGCUCACGUGCUAGCUUCUCUAGCGGCCAAUAAGAAAUAAAUUUCCACACUCACAUUACAAACUCUCGAACAACACCGCUCACGUGCCAGCUUCUCUAGUGGCCAAUAAGAAAUAAAUAAACAAUUGUAGCAGCAGUAGCAGUAGUAGCAGUAGUAGCAGUAGCAGCAGUAGCUGUAACAGUAGUAGUAACAGGAGGAGUAGGUGUAGCAGUAGUAGUAGUAGUAGUAGUAGUAGUAGUAGAAGUAGCUGUAGUAGUAGGUAGCAGUAGCAAUAGGUAGCAGUAGCAGUAGGUAGCAGUAACAGUAGCAGUAGCAGUAGUAUGGACAGCUGAAUAGGGAGAGAGAGAAAGAAAGUGAUGAUACUCCUAAGAGAGAUUGAACUUGCCCAUGGACAUGGAAUGAUGAGGUUCAAAGCCAUUGAGCAUAGCUUAUAUCCAACUAAGAAUGAACAAACCAAGAAGCUUAUAAAGCAUAAUAUCGAGAACUGAAGAUGGCAGGCGAAGUUGGUAAAAGAGAAGGUCACAUCUAGCAUAAUUCCUUCUGAACAGACCAAGACGUCAUUGCCAUUUAGUAUAUUUCUUAUGCGCCAUCUAUAUGUAAUCUACCAUACUUAAUUCAAGAAAUGACUAGAUUGGGAUAUUUUCACAAAAUCUAUUUGAGCUUGAAGCAAAGCGCCAAGCCGAAUGGGCAACGGGGAGAAGAAAUCUCCGUAAAAGCACAAUUAAUGUGGCACAAAGGGAGAGAAAUUCUAGAAUAUCGAUCAAAAUUACAAACAAAUUUAUGGAUAUACUAAAACCAAGAGAUUGACAACUUUUAUAACGUAAGGCUCUUUUCAUUCAUCAUUGUGAUUUGACUUUUAAUAUUCUCAUUGGGUCUUAUUUUAGAUUCCUUGCCUACCAUUAACCAUAUAAAAAAGAAAUUGGACUAUAACAUUGGAGAUUGAAGAGAGAAAGCCCGGAAAAAAAGACAUAUAGCAAACAAAAUUGGUCUGCUAAGAAACUUAUGAAAUCACUCUUUUAAAGCUAUGAUGCUCUCAAAGUACAAUUUAACCUCUCAAACUCUUUGAACAUAAACACAAGGAAAAUAGAAUAACUUUACUAAGAAAAGGAGUAUGAUGUACAAGAAUAACGAACCGAUAUAUCUUGUGUAUAGACAAAAUCACUCGAUUGACAUUGUUUAACUUCCGACAUACAUUUUUGUCUUAAAUGUUAAUAUCAAUUAAAAUAAAAUUUAAAAUUGCUUAAGCACAACUUGUCAAGUCCAAUGAAGAUUAAAUAUAAUCAGGCGUAUUCAAUGGAAAAUGUGCGCUUGAGUGCCCAUGCCUUUAAAAAACAAAAACAUGGUUGCUUUCAUAUUCAAACAAAAUAGUUUCCUUCUUUUUUUCCUAUGUGGGACUCUUUUUUAUUUCCACACUCACAUUACAAACUCUUGAACAACACCGCUCACGUGCCAGCUUCUCUAGCGGCCAAUAAGAAAUAAAUUUCCACACUCACAUUACAAACUCUCGAACAACACCGCUCACGUGUCAACUUCGCUAGUGGCCAAUAAGAAAUAAAUAAACAUCAGUAGUAGUAGUAGUAGUAGUAGUAGUAGUAGUAGUAGUAGUAGUAGUAGUAGUAGUAGGUGUAGCAAUAGUAGGAGUAGCAGUAGUAGCAGUAGCAGUAGUAGCUGUAGUAGCAGCAGUAGUAGGAGGAGUAGGAGUAGCAGUAGUAGUAGUAGAUGUAGUAUUAGGAGGAGUAGCAGUAGGUAGCAGUAACAGUAGCAGUAGCAGUAGUAUGGACAAUUGAAUAGAGAGAGAGAGAGAGAAAGCAAGUGAUGAUACUCCUGAGGGAGAUUGAACUUGCCCAUUGGCAUGGAAUGAUGAGGUUCAAAGCCAUUGAGCAUAGCUUAUAUCCAACUAAGAAUCAACAAACCAAGAAGAUGAUAAAGCAUAACAUCGAGAACUGAAGAUGGCAGGCGAAGUUGGUAAAAGAGAAGGUCACAUCUGUCAUAAUUCCUUUUGAACAGACCAAGAUGUCAUUGCCAUUUAGUAUAUUUCUUAUGUGCCAUCUAUAUGUAAUCUACCAUACUUAAUUCAAGAAACGACUAGAUUGGGAUUUUUUCACAAAAUCCAUUUGAGCUUGAGGCAAAGGGCCAAGCCGAACGGGCAAGGGGGAGAGGAAAUCUCCGUAAAAGCAUGUCGCGACCAAUUUUUCAGAUGAUGAACCACCUAGGGUUUGGCUAAUGGAUUGUUGAGCCUAGACUUAACUCGGGCUCUCCCAAGCCCAUACCAAUUCGCGACUUUCUGUUCAAGUUCUUAACAUGUAAUUUUUUAAUUAGGAGUCGCCACUAAUCUAUUUUUGGUGGGUCGAUUAGAAACCCAAGUAAAGUAAUAGGGGUUUUACUUUACUCCUACGAAACAGAGAUUUGGGUACGGGGACUUGGUUACACUAGAUUUCUCUAAUGCCCUUUCGGUACCAUUCUUUUAAUUUCAAAAAUGUUUUUGUAGGCAGUUUGGAUUAAUUUAAGUCUAUUUUCCUAACAUGUAAGGUGAUCAUGCGGGUACACAAACCACCAAUUUAACACCCAGAUAAACAAUAAAUAAAUUGCACAAACUUACCUCAAAGUAACGAAAGCAUCUGCAGUGUUAAAUUAAAAUCCACAUCAACAACCCUAGAUAUGGUUUCUAAUUAACACGCAAUUUUUAUUUUGUUUUCGCUUAAUUAAUGAAAAUCAUGCAAUAUGUAAUGCAAUGUUAAUUGAAUGACCUAAUUCUAAUGACAUGUAAUUUUUAAUUAAAUGUGCCUAGCAAAAAUACUAAAUGACAUGCAUCUCAAUGAAUCUAACCCUAAUGACGUGCAUAUGACAAUUUUUUUCUAAAAGAAUGCAUUUUAUCCUACAUAAUAAAACUAAUUUAAUCUACGACAUCUUUUUGUAUUUUUCAAGAAAUUCGAAAUUAGGUGAAAUGUGAAAAUUACCUAAUUAGAUUAAGAUCCUAUUUAAUUUAUAUUAGGAAUUAGGUUGAUUCACAUCCUAAUUUAAACUAAAAUAUUAUCUUAACCAAAAUAAUCCUAAAGUGCAAUAUAUCUAAAAAAGUACCUAAACUUAUAAUAAAUUAAAAAAUUAUCUAAAUUAAACUAAGUGCAAUUUUUAUCCUAAUAUGCAAUGAUGUGCAAAAUGUACCCUAACUCUACAUGAUAUAUGCAUGAUGAUUUUUUUGUGUUUUUGUUUUCUUUCUUUUUUUUUCUAAAUUUCGAAAUUAAUAAUUGCCAAAUAAUUAAACAUGCAAUUCAAGUUAAAAAAACUAGCAACCUAAAUUAAUUGAUUUGAUUCUUUUUUUUAAUUCGAAAUAAAAUUCCUAUUGUGAGCAUGCAAACCAUAGAACUACAUUUUUUAUUUUUUUUUUUUAAAGAAAACUAACCUAGGUAACACCACGGCAAAUCAAGCAAUAUUGGUACCCAAAUUGACUAACCAUAUCUCGCGCAUGAGAUCAGGUUGGCCAAUUUCACAUAAAUCACGAAUCGGAUCUCGGGCAGGAGAUUAGAUUGGCAAUUUUUUUAAGUAAUUGUGAGUCGGAUUUCGGGCGCGAAAAUCGGACUGACAAUCACUAAUUACAAGGAAAUUUCAUAUCAUGGAAUUUCAAUUUCACAUUAAAGGAAUAAUAACACUAAAAAGAUAAAAUAAAAUAGCAAAAAUAAUAAAACAAAAAUAAGAUAAAGAAAAUACCUAAACUUUCUUUUGCUUUUCUCUUUUUUCUUUUCUUUUUUUUCUAAAAAAGAAAAAAGAAAAAUAAAGCUGGUGGCCGGUCCGGUGAGGGGAGAUCGCCGGCUAGGGUUCCGGCGAGGGCACCGAGAGCGGCGCGACGGCGGCACAGCAACAGGGGCUUCCAGGAUCGGCGCGGCGGCAUCGCGGCACCAGGGGCUUCGGGAUCAGCACGGGACGACGUCAGCUCUGGGAGUGGGCGUCGCAGGCAAGGGACCCUAGGCACCGGCAGAGGCGAGGCGGAAGCGGCGACGGGCUGGCGCGACAAGAUCGGCGAAUAGCGUCGCGGGCAGGGACAGUGUCAGAUCUAGGCCGAUUGCUAUUCAGAUCUGUAGGCGGCGAGCGGCAUCGGGCUGCAGGCGUCGGGGCGGCGUGGCGGCUCUUCAGGACAGCGACGCGGCGGCAUGGGGAAGGUUGGCUCAAUGGCGGAGCGAUUCUAGGUCGCCGGUGGCUCAGCAGCCAGCGCAGGCAAGCGGGGACGGCACCGGCAGACACCCCCCCCCCCCCCCCAGCGAGGAAGAUGAACAGUCGCGGGGGGUUUUCUUUCUUCUUCUUUUUUUCGGUUUUUCUCUCUUACCUCACUUUUUCACUGUUUUCUCUUUUUGGUGCCCUUUGUUCGACGGAAAAGAACCCCCCUCUCUCGUGCUUUUCUCUCUGAAUUUUUUUUCCUUUCAAUAUGGCCGAAUGUCUCGAUUGCGUGGCCUCCUUUGCUCCCCACCGUACACGACUCCUUUUAUACACCAAAAAAUUAUAUCUCUGUGGUAUAUUUCAUUGCCAACUUUGCUCGUGCAAAAUACCAUUGAAUAUAUCAUCCCACCACGCACAAUAUUUUUUGUGUUUUUUUCCAAUAUUUCAUUCGAGAAUUUCCUUUCCAUCAAAAAUACAUCACUCGGUGUAUAUUGCCUAAAGUUAUGAAAAUCCUAACGGAAUAUGUGAAAAAUUUUGCACUCGCCGUCGGCCCAAUAAAAUAAACAAAAAUGUUUCCUAAACUAUAUGCCAUGUAAUUUUAUUUUUUCAGGGAUAAAAUUAACCCCUAAUUUUUAAUACGAUAAAUGUCUAAAUAGGUCGCCAAAAUAUAGGUGUCAACAGCUGCCCCUCUUUGAAGGUGAGCUCGUAGAGGUUGCCUUAAAAGACAAAUUGAGACCUAAAUUUUGACCAUGCACGUGCAGUGAAUGAUUUUUUUUGUCAGAACAUGAAUUCCAUUUUUUAAUGCAAUUUGUAUGAUGCAUGAAAAUGCUAAUGCAAAUGAUAGAUGAACCUACCUGGAAUAACUUACCUUCAAGGAUGAUAGAGUAAUUCGAGGUAGUGGGUGUUAUCUGUCUAGGACCCGUACCAUUCUACGGUCCCCUAGAAUAGUAACAUGACUUUCUGAAGAUGCUGCUUUCCCAGGACCCGUACCAUUCUACGGUCGCCCAGUAUGGCAGAAAGGAGCUGCUUUCUUAGGACCCGUACCAUUCUACGGUCGCCCAGUACGGCAAAAAGGUUUUGUCUAGGACCCCUACCAUUCUACGGUCGCCUAAACAGGGAUUCAUUUUCUAGGACCCGUACCAUUUUACGGUCGCCUGAAUAAGGAAUAGGUGUUGUCAAGGACCCGUACCAUUCUACGGUCGCUUCGAUGAAGAAAAUUAUUUUUCCAGGACCCCUACCAUUCUACGGUCGCCUCGAUGAAGAAAAUUAUUUUUCCAGGACCCGUACCAUUCUACGGUCGCCUGAAUGAGGAAAUUGCUUUUCCAGGACCCGUACCAUUCUACAGUUGCCUGUUAGAGCAAUAAAUGUUGUCUAGGACCCGUAUCAUUCUACGGUCACCUAGAUUGAGGUUUUGUUUGGCUAAGACCCGAACCAUUCUUCGAUCGCCCAGCCUUGCGGCAAAAAUCAUCCAACCAGGACUCGAACCAUUCUUCGGUCGCCUUAAUCAGAUUGAAUUUGGAGGAAAAAUCUUUGGGGGACAACUCCAUUGAGUGUCGGUGUAAAGGACUCUGGGCUAUGAAAGCACGCUAGGUCGAUAAAAGAAAUCCGAGCUACGGAAGCACACCGGUUCGAUAAAAUGGACUCUAGGCUACGACACGCUAGGUCAAGAAAGAGACAUUGGGCUACGGAAGCACGCCGAGUCGAUGAAAAUGACUCUGGGCUACGAAAGCAUGCCAGGUCGAUAUAACUGGACAGCUUGACCAAGUCAAGUGUCGAUGCACUUAAGAGAGAAUACAUGCACAAUGACAAGUAUUUUAGAGUAUGGUAGAGAUAUAAUUACCUAGUAAUAUCUCUGAUUCUUGGAGAAAAAUGUCUUUUGGAAUUUAGAUAUCCUGUGGAGGUCUUUCACCUCAUGGUGGAGGUUUCUCAUCUCCUAAUAUCAUGAAACAUUCCGAAAGGAACUUGAAUUACCUGUCAGACAUGAUUUAAAGCAAAAAAUGAUAUGCAUUCAUCAAAAAGAUAGACAGUCUGAGCUACUCUAGAAUACACAUUUCAAAAUUGAGUGAAAUUCUCAUUAAUUCAAUCGGGGUUCAUGCAUAAUGACCUUUGCAUCACCCAAAUUCCCAUUGGAGAGAAUUAUCAUUCAAGACAAUCUUCACUCAUAACAUGGAUUUCCUAAAAAUACUAAAUGAGGGACUUUCAGUUAGAAAGGACUUUCACUCACUCUCAUUUAGAGGCUAUUUUAUGAGAAUCACUCCAUCUCACUGUCAUCAUACCAACAAGGGUCUGAGUUUUCUCGCAAGUGGUACGACCUUACCAAUCUGAGAGGUCUUUAAUAGGGACCGUAAUGUGGGCUCGGUUAACGGCUUAACAAAGGGACUCUUUGAGUCAAGGCUAUUGAAAGAACAACUCUGUAAUCAUCUCCGAGUUUACAAGUCAAGAACCCUGCAAAAUGAGAAAGAAAUCAUCUUGCUCGCACUUUUUUAAGCGAUGCUUAAAACAUGUGAACUCCUAUGUUAAUUCAAGUGUCAUAAUCUGAAGAGACUUUGUAAGGGACGUAACAUAGGCUAGGUUCAUGGGUUGAGAAAUGGAAGGAUAAGCAAGCUCAAAAUAUGUGUAAAGGGUGAGAGCUGAUGAUCAUCUUAGCAUUGCCACCAGCUUUUUUUUCACCAUCGGGGAUUGUCUUCAUGAAGUGCCCCAUUGAUUAUGAAAACUCAGCAUUUGAGUUCUUUGAGUAUUGCUCCAUUGAGACUCAAUUCUUACAAUUGACAGUCACCUAUAUUGACUCUCUUUUUUCAUCUAUGGGUAUUGAUCUUGCUUUUACUAGGCACACUACUUUUUCAUACCCCCAGUUCUCAUGCAUUUUUUUCACUUCUUUCAUGGGCAUUGGCCUUACUUUUACCAUGCACACUGCUUUUUCUUCCCCCUUAGUUCUAUUUCGAAUUCAAUUUUUGCGCACAAUGCAUGCGUCAAACAAUGACACUCGAACUUUCAAGGGUCUUCUCUGCCUUUUGCCUUUCCCCAGUGUGGGGGGUGAUCACCAACUGGGUUUAAAGAAACAAAAUUGCAGGCUCAAGUGGGCUAUGCAAAAGAUAUAAGUAUGUAGGAUAGAGAAAAAAAUGCUCUUCGUCAUCCUAAGGCACUUAAAUUACCACAUGAAUUUAAUGUAAUAGCAUGACUAAAAGAUUAAUGCAAGUGAGAGCAAGAAAAUUUCAAUCCAUUUUCUUCACUUUAUGGUACUGUCUUACCCUCCAAUUUCCCCCGAUGUGGGGUGGUUCUUGACAGGGGUAAUUUGAUAAAAAUCUUCAUAAGUGUAUAAGGCUCAAAAUGGUUAAACAAUGGAUCACCUGCUGUGUUUGGGAUAGAGAAAUGAAUUGCCCCUCAUCAUUUCGGUCAUCGUACCUUUUGUGAGAGAACUCUUUACCUUGCAUAUUUGGAACUUCCUACACUCAUCUCACAAGUGUAUCAAGUGUAUAAGUAAGGGAUUAUGUAUAGGAUAAGGCUUGCCUUUCAUCAUCCUGAUGUGUCUCCUUCAGCAUUCUUAAGCAUUGAAGUCACUCCAUUGAGUUGUCUAUAUUGACAAAUCUCCACAUGAAAUUGGUGAGCUAAAUCAAUGUGAAAAUUCUCUUUUCAAAAGAGUCUAGAAACUUUAAGCAUGAAAAGCGUUUGUGACUUCAAACAAACAAUUUACUACACUAAAAAAUGCUCUUAUAAGUAUGAAAAACAUGAUUUCAAGCAUUCAUUCAAGGAAUUGUCCCACGAAGGGACUGUCUUAGCAAUGGGUGUCCUUGGAUUGCCCCUAUUAAAAGGGAACAAACACACAAAUUGAUCAAUCAGGGAUGAAAAUCCGAUCUUUGAUUUGAUGAAAUCUUGCUUUUGCCCCUGCAUAAAACAACGUGCAUGAAUAGGAUACUAUGCAACAUCAAAGUAAAUUCAAAUUGCACAACCAUUUUCGCUCAGAUCGAGAUUUUGUCUCAGUCAUGUCACUACUAGAAUCUGCAGUGCCCCCAAUUCGUCAUCUGCAAGGAAAAGAACAGCGCGUCAUCUCCCAAAAUUAUUUAUGUUAAAAAACGAGAUGUACCUCUUUCACCAAAGAUGGAUGAUCCUCUUUUAACUUGCCCCUCAUUUAAUGGGCGAGAAUGAAAAUUCCGUCAAGCAUGGAAAUGGAACACACUUUGUUUGGCCCUUCAAGAUGGAUAUUUAAAGUAGUAUCGAGAUGUGACUGACAUUAACUCUUUAGAAACUUGUUGAGUAACAAUUGAACCUGUGACAUCCUGAAAUUCGACCCCGUUUCGAUAAAGUGAAAUGGGCAUUUCGUCAAUGUGUCUAUGGCUCUUUUUCUCUGAGUUGAUCACUCACGAGUUAACUAACCUAUUGGGUAAAGCCGUUAAGGGAUGUAUCAGCUGUAAAAUCCCUAAAAGCUACCUAAUUGGUUGGAUUGAGCUAAAAUCACGUCUGAUCAAUUUUUAACCACGAAAUUGAACUCGAUUUCGCGAAUCGAAUAUUAAGCGCAUCAUAAUUCUUAUUUUUAGGAUCCUGUCUCAUUGUCCAUCAAAUUGUUGGCGAGUCCAAAAUUUCAAUAAAGAAAUUAUCGGAAGAAAAUUGAAGACCGAAAGAAAAUAGAAAGGGAUAGAGAAAAGAAUAUAAAGUAAGAAUAAUUGUAUUAGUUUUACUUUAUUUUUCCCUCUCUCCCUCUAUCUUCUUUUCUUUUCUUUUUCUUUCUUUUCUCUUUUCUCUCUCUCUUCUCUCCCCUCUCCCUUUUCCCCCUCGUGUGAUUUCCCCCACUGCCUACCUUCCCUCUCUCUCUUCCCUUUUGACCGGUCAAUCCUCAUCUUCUCUCUCUCUCUCUCUCUCUCUCUCUCUCUCUCUCUCUCUCUCUCUCUCUCUCUCUCUCUCUCUUUCUUCUUCUUCUUCCUCCCUCCGCACGCUCGAGCAAGCGAACCAGAACCAAAAGCUCGGACCAAAGGCUGCAGCUCGCUGCCGCCGCACCACGCGCCCGCGCCCGUGCGCCCGCCGCUCGCCCCCAUGCGCCGCCUACCUUCUCCUCCGUCCAGAUGCCCCUUCCCCCGAGCAAAUCCGCGCGACCCAGCCCCUGUUCCGCCCUUGUCCGGCCACCUCCAGCCGUCGUUCAACCCCGCUGGACUUCCCCAGCGUCCCCCUUACCCUCCGCCGGCCUUCCCUUGCCGUUUUAGCCACCGGAGCAGCCCCGAUCAGCCUCGACCAGCAACCUACAAAAUGGGUUUCCAACGGCUUUAGGCCCGCUUUUGAGCUGUUUCCGGGUUCCGAACCCGAGUCGUGCUUUGGCAAGAAUCGCUCCUCGCGUCGCCCCCGUCGGAUUGAUCCGAUUUGCAUGCGAUUUGGUGAGUAAUCUCACUAAUCCCGGAUUAGUUGGCUAAUUAUGCUUAAGGUUGGUUUAGUUUUAAUUAAUUAUGUUUAGGUUGUUAGAUUAGAAUAAAUUAGCAAUUAUUAGUCAAUUGUGAUGUGAUUUAGAUAAAUUGACUGCGCAAUUAGCAAGUAGACGUGGUCUACUAUUUAUUGGAAGUAUCUCGGAAAUUUUCCGACCCCUAAUCGGGCUUCAAUUUGGCGAUUCAGGCCUAAGUGAGAUUUUUGGCAUUUAAAUAUUAUUUUUCGAAAUUAAAUUAAUUAUUUAUUUAUUUUCUGAAAAUUCAACUGGGAUGGCUAGUGACCGGAAUAUUAUGCUGAUGACUGUGGUGAAGUUUGUUUAUUUAAUUGGGCCUUAUUUUGAGCUAAACGGAAUUUUUAAUAUUUAAUAAUUAAUUUUCGAAAUUAUUUAUUUAUUUAUUUAUUUUUCGGAAAUCAAGAUUUUGAUGGCCGAUGACCGAAAUCUCGUGCUAAUUGUCGUGGCGCAGUCCGUUUAUUUAUUUGAGCUCUACGUUGCAUGGAAUUAAAUAAAUUGUGAUAUUUUAGAGAUUUACCCUAAAUUGAUUGGAAUUGAUUGAGAUUGAAUUAUGGAUUAGUAAAUGGCGUGGUUAAAUUCUGCAAUUGAGUGUUAAAUUAUGCAAAUUGAGUGCUGAUUGGAUUUUUGGUAUUUAAUUCCAAAAUUUGUGGAUUUUGAUAUUUAUUUAGAAAACCCCAGGUGUCGGGUUUUAACACCAAAAAUGGAUUUUAAGUACUAUAUCAAAUAGUGGGGUUUGAAAAAUAUAAGUAUCAGUCUUCUGGUUCGAAUUGACUGUGUACCCACACACGACUAUUUUCGGGAUGUUUUUAAUACGAAGAAAAUAGGCCAGGAUCACUAUUUUAAUGGAGGCAUUUGAGUGCAAUGCACAGUAUCCUGGGCCGAGAUUGAUUGGUCGUGUGUUGGUUAAGAGAAACCAUCCUGGGCUGUUAAGCCGGAUGUUACCCAUUCAUUGGGACUCGGCUUGCAGUAGAUUCUGGACCUACGCCCCUUCGGGGAAGCCGUCUAAUUGAGAGACGUUGCCAUGCUCAUGGGGGAGACGACGCCUGGCAAUGCCAGAAGACCGCCAAUAGAGUUGACCGUACCCUUGAGGGGUGUAAUUAACAAUUGGAAUGCAUGAUGGUUGAGUUUGAUGCACCGGAUUAUGAGACAAAAUUGUGUGACAUGGUAUGGGACAUGUCAUAACGAUUUGGCCCUAUAAUCUGGACCCUUGUGAUUUAUUGAGUUGAGUGAUGCGCUUCAAUUGCUGGAUGUAUCGAUUCUAUACAUAAGGUAUGCGAAUUGUACUGACUUGCAGGUGGAAUCUAAGGCCAAGGUAAGUCCUCUGCCCUGUGCGUGUUUAGGCAGCCUAUAGUAUAAUGGUUUAUUAUUCGGGCUUAGUGGGGUAGAACUCGCUGAGACGUAGUCUCAUCCCAGUUUGGGGAAAACAUUUCAGGACUCCGUUGAGGAGCUGAGGAGGAGGAGUUUGAGAAGGAGAACUCGAAGGCGAACUUGAGGAAAAAUGAUUUUUUGAAAAAGAAGAUAAUUCUGAGAGGAAUCUUGAGUACGACUCGGAUGGAUUGAGAUUCCAUCUUCUUUUGUGAACUUCAAUUGAUGUGAAUAGAGUUUAGAGUAAAAAGUUGUGAAGUGCUAUAGUUUGUGUUUUGUAUAAAAGUUUGGUUAUGAGUUUCAAUAUGAGAAAUAUGGCCCUGCUUUUCUAUCCCAUUGUUUUAUUGUCUGGGGAGUAUAACUACUUCCGCAUGUGCUUAAUAAUAGAAAGGGUCGGCGAUACAUAGUCCUGGGAUAUCGCAUUAUAAAAUCGACCAAGAGUAGAAGGAUGUGUGCGUGCCCGAGGAUCGGGGCGUGACAGAACCAAUUACAACCCGAUGUGCCUUUUUUAGAUGCUUUCUUAUCGGGUCAUGAAUUAAUGCUCUGAAACAUGAAGUAAAUGAGUCAGAAAAUUAAACAAGGCUAAUCUAAUGCAUGCUUUUUGGAAAUGGCUUGAAAAGUGAUCUUUUUUUUGUUCUUUUGGAUUUUUUAUUGGAUGAGGAAGCAUGAAGAAGCCUAGUCCUCAGAAUUCUCCUUGGAUGAUAUUUUCUUUUCAUUGUUGAAUAUCGUCACCAGGCUAGUUUGAUGUACCCCAUCAUGUCCUCAAAACAAAACUUGUAAUUUUAUUGAUAUUCAUCAAUCGAAUUACAUUUAUUGGAAUGUGAUGUUCAAGCACAGAAGAAAUCAAUCCCUAAAAAGCGAUAAAAAUUCUCAUGCAGGGGAAGGUGUAUGCCCCUAAUUAAAUGAGGAAAUAGAACUACUUAGGACCAUGAAUCAUGUGUACAUGAAUUCUUCACCCUUCUUGAUCUUGUGAUGCAAGCCCUUCAGGUUUGAUAUUCUUCCAUCUAGAUAUGUUGCUACCCUCUUCAUGAUGGCAUCAAAUUCGACUACCACAAGAAAAUGAGACAAUUCAAAAGGUCUUCUUGGCUCUCUUCUUGGAGUGGCAAUUUAUCACUGAAGAUAGAUUGCAGCAUUUUUGCUUGAUGAGAUAAGCUCUUUUUGAUCCGUCAUUUUGGCUCUUGAUCGUGAACGGAUGGGUGAGCGAGAUCAUUCCAUAAUCACCUAGUUCAAAUGAACGGGAACAUGUAAGAAUGAGGGUAAAUAGAAAGUCAAUCCAUGACAAUGAUCUAGUUGAGUUUUCAUUUUUUUUUUCAUUUAUUCAUGAAAAGUUCGUACAAGAAGGGCAUUUCCUAAAAAUAGACUAAGAAAAUAAAGAUAGACACCCCAACAAAACCAAAUUUCCUAGAGAUAAAUUGAAAACAAAUUCUCAAAAGUUUUUUUAUGGCAAAUGAUUCAUUGCAUGGCAAUUUCCUCAUUUCAUUUAUAAUUGACAAAUGAAUUAGAUCAAACGACUAACCUAGAUUGUCAUGGACAGACCAAAAGCACGACAAAAUAAAUUGCAUGGUAUAGGGAAAGAAGACUUACUUCACCAAGGAGAAUCAAUGGCAAUCACAUAGACAUGUGCAUGGUAAGUGGCUCAAUUUCUAAUCUAUAAGGCUUAUCAAGGUGGAGCCACAAGGAUGAUCGGACUAGCCACGAGUUUGUGGACUAUGUCAGGCCCUCAUGACUCUGGCUUGGUCAAAGAGCCGACCCGGGUCGCGGGCAUGCGAACCGAGGUGGGUACUCUUGACACCAUGAAAGAAACUUCGGGAUUGAGAUGGGCGACUCGUACCGCGAGCAUGCGGUCGGAGUGGUAUCCAUCUCAAUACCAUCCUAAAUGAUCCUAUGCGGCCCAGGUCCGACGGCAGGUUGUGUGUGCAAUAGUGUAGUGCUAGAUGCAAGGCAUGCACGGCAAUUUAUAUCAAGCAACACUUCAUUCAUGAAAAUAAACCAUACAUUCCUACACCUUCUUGCAAAACAAAGGUUAACAAACACUUCCCCUUAUACCUCCCAUCCUGCAAGAACAUUUAAAACCUUAAAUGUUAGGGGUGUACCUGGAAUCCUUGCUGCCAAACAAAACAUUUUUCAAAAGAAAAGAAAAAUUGGCCUAAGUCCACUAAGAGUUUCAACUCAAGUCCCCAGCGGAGUCACCAAGCUGUCGCGACCAAUUUUUCGGGUGAUGAACCACCUAGGGUUUGGCUAAUAGAUUGUUAAGCCUAGACUUAACUCGGGCUCUCCCAAGCCCAUACCAAUUCACGACUUUCGGUUCAAGUUCUUAACAUAUAAUUUUUUAAUUAGGAGUCGCCACUAAUCUAUUUUUGGUAGGUCGAUUAGAAACCCAAGUAAAGUAACGGGAGUUUUACUUUACUCCUACGAACCAGAGAUUUGGGUACGGGGACUUGGUUACACUAGAUUUCUCUAAUGCCCUUUCGGUACCAUUCUUUUAAUUUCAAAAAUGUUUUUGUAGGCAGUUUGGAUUAAUUUAAGUCUAUUUUCCUAACAUGUAAGGUGAUCAUGCGGGUACACAAACCACCAAUUUAACACCCAGAUAAACAAUAAAUAAAUUGCAAAAACUUACCUCAAAGCAACGAAAGCAUCUGCAGUGUUAAAUUAAAAUCCACAUCAACAACCCUAGAUAUGGUUUCUAAUUAACACGCAAUUUUUAUUUUGUUUUCGCUUAAUUAAUGAAAAUCAUGCAAUAUGUAAUGCAAUGUUAAUUGAAUGACCUAAUUCUAAUGACAUGUAAUUUUUAAUUAAAUGUGCCUAGCAAAAAUACUAAAUGGCAUGCAUCUCAAUGAAUCUAACCCUAAUGACGUGCAUAUGACAAUUUUUUCCUAAAAGAAUGCAUUUUAUCCUACAUAAUAAAACUAAUUUAACCUAUGACAUCUUUUUGUAUUUUUCAAGAAAUUCGAAAUUAGGUGAAAUGUGAAAAUUACCUAAUUAGAUUAAGAUCCUAUUUAAUUUAUAUUAGGAAUUAGGUUGAGCCACAUCCUAAUUUAAACUAAAAUAUUAUCUUAACCAAAAUAAUCCUAAAAUGCAAUAUAUCUAAAAAAGUACCUAAACUUAUAAUAAACUAAAAAAUUAUCUAAAUUAAACUAAGUGCAAUUUUUAUCCUAAUAUGCAAUGACGUGCAAAAUGUACCCUAACUCUACAUGAUAUAUGCAUGAUGAUUUUUUUGUGUUUUUGUUUUCUUUCUUUUUUUUUUUCUAAAUUUCGAUAUUAAUAAUUGCCAAAUAAUUAAACAUGCAAUCCAAGUUAAAAAAACUAGCAACCUAAAUUAAUUGAUUUGAUUCUUUUUUUUUAAUUCGAAAUAAAAUUCUUAUUGUGAGCAUGCAAACCCUAGAACUACAUUUUUUUUUUUUAUUUUUAAAGAAAACUAACCUAGGUAACACCACGGCAAAUCAAGCAAUAUUGGUACCCAAAUUGAUGAACCAUAUCUCGCGCAUGAGAUCGGGUUGGCCAAUUUCACAUAAAUCACGAAUCGGAUUUCGGGCGGGAGAUCGGAUUGGCAAUUUUUUUAAGUAAUUGUGAGUUGGAUUUCGGGCGCGAAAAUCGGACUAACAAUCACUAAUUUCAAGGCAAUUUCAUAUCAUGGAAUUUCAAUUUCACAUUAAAGGAAUAAUUACACUAAAAAGAUAAAAUAAAAUAGCAAAAAUAAUAAAACAAAAAUAAGAUAAAGAAAAUACCUAAAUUUUCUUUUGCUUUUCUAUUUUUUCUUUUCCUAUUUUUUCUAAAAAAGAAAAAGAAAAAUAAAGCUGGUGGCCGGUCCGGUGAGGGGAGAUCGCCGGCUAGGGUUCCGGCGAGGGCACCGAGAGCGGCGCGACGGCGGCACAGCAACAGGGGCUUCGGGGAUCGGCGCGGCGGCAUCGCGGCACCAGGGGCUUCGGGAUCAGCACGGGACGACGUCGACUCUGGGAGCGGGCGUCGCGGGUAGGGGACCCUAGGCACCGGCGGAGGUGAGGCGGAAGCGGCAAUGGGCUGGCGCGGCAAGAUCGGUGAACGGCGUCGCAGGCAGGGACGAGGAGACAGGGAUGGCGUCGGAUCUAGGCCGGUUGCUGUUCAGAUCUGCAGGCGGCGAGCGGCGUCGGGCUGCGGGCAUCGGGGCGGCGUGGCGGCUCUUCGGGACAGCGACGCGGCGGCACGCGAAAGGUUGGCUCGACGACGGCACGAUUCUAGGUUGCUGGUGGCUUAGCAGCCAGCGCAGGCAAGCGGGGACGACACGGGCAGACACCCCCCCGGCGAGGAAGAUGAACAGUCACGGGGGGGUUUUCUUUCUCUCUUUUUUUGGUUGUUCUCUCUCUUACCUCACUUUUUCACUGUUUUCUCUUUAAGAACCCCCCUCUCUCGUGCUUUUCUCUCUGAAAUUUUUUUCCUUUCAAUAUGGCCGAAUGUCUCAAUUGUGUGGCCUCCUUUGCUCCCCACCGUACGCAACUCCUUUUAUACACCGAAAAAUUGUAUCUCUGUGGUAUAUUUCAUUACCAACUUUGCUCGUGCAAAAUACCAUUGAAUAAAUCAUCCCACCAUGCGCAAUAUUUUUUGUGUUUUUUUCCAAUAUUUCAUUCGAGAAUUUCCUUUCCAUAAAAAAUACAUCACUCGGUGUAUAUUGCCUAAAUAUAUGAAAAUCCUAACGGAAUAUGUGAAAAAAUUUGCACUCGCCGUCUCCAAUAAAAUAAACUAAAAUGUUUCCUAAACUAUAUGCCAUGUAAUUUUAUUUUUUCAGGGAUAAAAUUAACCCCUAAUUUUUAAUACGAUAAAUGUCUAAAUGGGUCGCCAAAAUUUAGGUGUCAACAAAGCACAAUUAAUGUGGCACAAAGGGAGAGAAAUUCUAGAAUAUCGAUCAAAAUUACAAACAAAUUUAUGGAUAUACUAAAACCAAGAGAUUGACAACUUUUAUAACGUAAGGCUCUUUUCAUUCAUCAUUGUGAUUUGACUUUUAAUAUUCUCAUUGGGUCUUAUUUUAGAUUCCUCGCCUACCAUUAACCAUAUAAAAAAGAAACUGGACUAUAACAUUGGAGAUUGAAGAGAGAAAGCCCGGAAAAAAAGACAUAUAGAAAACAAAAUUGGUCUGCUAAGAAACUUAUGAAAUCACUCUUUUAAAGCUAUAAUGCUCUCAAAGUACAAUUUAACCUCUCAAACUCUUUGAACAUAAACACAAGGAAAAUAGAAUAACUUUACUAAGAAAAGGAGUAUGUUGUACAAGAAUAACGAACCAAUAUAUCUUGUGUAUAGACAAAAUCACUCGAUUGACAUUGUUUAACUUCCAACAUAUUAGAAAGUAUUUGUAAAUCCAAGCUUCUGUGAGAUGUGGUUGAGGUUUAUAAGAUGUGAUAUCUAUAAUCUGUGGAGCAUCGGUGAUGUUACCAUUGUUAUUUACAAAAGCCCAUGGAUGUCUAAAGAAUAGAAUAGUGUGGACUUUAGGGUUUGGUUGGAUGGUUCUCAAUUCUUGCUGUAAGAGCUGCUUCCAGUGAUUAGGAGGAUAAAACCAAUUAAGGAAGUCUAAGAGGUUUUUGUCAUUUUCCCUUUCAAUGUUUAAACCAAGUCCAAAUAUCCUGGUGAGGUUGGCAAUGAAUCUUUUGGUUGGAAUCUUAAUAAUUAUUAAGUACUUAUUGGUUAAAUAUCAUAAUAACUAUCGCAACUGAUCAAAGAAGUCUUCUUCCUUCCAAAGUAAAGGAUGUAUAAACGGAUAGUUCGAGUUUAACCCAAAAGGAUAAAUAAUUGAACCUUCAUGGAAUCUGAAUAGAUUUGUGUGGCAUUGUCACAUGAGGUUUUCCAUGUUUUCAGUUAGGCUAUCAUUCUAGACUUGUUCGACCAUCUCCCAGGGGUAUCGCCAGCUUGGCCAAUCUCGUAUUCUGCUAGUACUUUUGGUUUUGAUAAGAAGUCAUCAAGCAUGUUAUUCUUCCUAACAAUGUGUUUGGUUUCAAAAGAGUAUUUUGAAAACCAUUCGGCCCAUCGAAGCAGUUUAGAAUUUAAGAUCUGCUUCUAUUUAAACUUUGUCAUCUAAGGAAAAAAUGCAAUGUCUAAUUCUACUAGGAAGUGAUGGUCGAUAAGAUGAAAUUCAAACUUUUUUAUGCCAUUUUUUAUCGCCAAGAUUUCUUUGAAAGUUGAGUGAUAAUGCAUUUCAGCCUGGGAAAAUUUCCACUUUUGUAGGCACACAAAUGUCUCUUACCAUCAAUUUUUUCGAAUAGAAUGGCUGCCCAGUAUUCAUCACUGGCAUCAAUCUGGAGAAUUCUCUUUCCUGUUGAAGAGAUUUGCAAUGGGGAAAGAGUCUACAUAAUCUCCUUAAGUUCAGUGAUUGCUUUAAUAUGAGGUUUUCCCCAAGGUGGAGGAUUCUUCUUCAGCAUUGAUUGCAAUGGAAUAGCAGUUUGGCAAUAUUUGGAACAAAGUUUCUGAGAUAAUUAAUUAUCCCAAGAAAUUGCUGAACUUGUUUUGUCAUAAAGUUCUCUUUAAGAAAUUUUAACAAUUCUUGAGCAAUGUGUGGCCUUAGAUAGUAUGUUCCUUUGUUAAGGUGCAUACCAAGAAAUUUGAUUUAAGCCAAAAGAAGUUGGCAAUGAGAAAGCAUAAUCUCAUGUUUUUUUACGAUUUCUGCAAACUACCCAAGAAGUUGGCAGUGAGAUUCUUCAUCAGGGCUGUAGAGCAUAAUAUCAUCAAUAUAUACUACUGUGCUUGACAAGAUGGGUUGGAAAACUCGACACAUGGCUUUCUUAAAUAGGGAUGCUGCCACAUUUAAGCCAAAAGAAAGAAUUUUCCAUUGAAAAUGUUGGUUCGAGAUACAGAACCCUGUUUUGCGUCUGUCUUCAGUGGAUGCCCAAUUGCUAAAAUCCAACUUUGAGAUCAAAUUUGGAGUAGAUGUGGGCUUUGGAUAAUCUGGUAAAAAUGGAAUUUCUUGAAGGUAAAGGGAAUUUGUCAUCUUGAAAGAAGAGAUUAAGAGGUUGGUAGUUUAUUACAAGUCGUAUUUUUCCUCUAUUUUGCUCGGAACGCUUAUUGACAUAAAAGGCUUCAUAAGCCCAUUGAGAAUUGGAGAUUUUAAUAAGGCAUUGUCGUAACAAUUCUGAGCAUUCCCUUUGAGCAGCAACCAGAUGUUCUGGAUUCAUUCCCAUAUGACUCGCAUUGGUUGGAUUAAUGUCUUUAUUCUUUUUUAAGGGAAGACGAAUAAAGAAUUCCAGAUUUUUCCAUAAAUGAUGAGAACAUUUUUAGGAAAAUUCAUAAUGGGAUUAUGAACAAGAUUUUAACAGCUUCUAUAUUAUCGGAUCUAACAGAUUCAUUUGGAUGGAAAAAGGUCUUUGGCUAUUGACAAAUUCAGAGAAUUGGUUCUUAUACUUAAGACAUUUUCCAGGAAUGAUAUGAAGCUAAGAAAUCUGAGUUAUAAUGUCCCAACCAAUGAUUAAAUAUUUAUUGGGAAUACUGGAUCCGAAGAUUUUUGUAGUUAUGGAACACUGGGGAAAAAAUUGAACAAUUACUAGAGUAGUUCUUACAUACGUAGAAAAAGUAUCUCCUGAUGCAAAAUUAAAAUAUCGAACACAUGAAGUCCAAUAUUCUUCAUGAAGUACUUUAGUGUCUAAGAUUAAACAACUUGCAUUAGUGUCUAUGAGAGUAAUGACUGUGAUAGGCUUGGCAAAUUUUGAAGUGAAUUUUCACAGGAAAAUGAAGACAAUGGAUUUGGCUUGAAAAUAUGUUAGGGUUUUUUUCUGAUGAAGUGAGGAUAUGUGAAAAAGGUCUUCGGAAUCUAAAUCAGUUUCACUGGGAGUCUGGUAACAAGGAAUGACACAAAGUUUGUUCAGAUAGUUCUUCAUCCGCAGAGAAUAGAGAUUCGACAUCGUCAUUUUCAAGUGAAAUACCUAUCUUAUUCUCUAUGUGAUGUAUCAAAUGAUUCUGACAUUUUCUUCCCUGAGGGCAAUUUUUGGCAAAAUGGCCCUUUUGAUUGCAGAUGAAGCAUUGAGUUGAUUUCUUGUGGCUUGAAUGAUCCUUCCUUUUGCGUAAGAAUCGCCAUUUCUUCUUUUCCGGAAGUGCUUAGAGCCAUGUCUGGAUUUCUUUAUCUAGAAUUUUUUAAAGUGUUUCUUCUUUCUGGAAAACUUUCCACAAGAGCCAUCACAGUCUCUUUUGGAGCAUUUGAUCUUCAAAUCAUAGCGAGAGCAGGCUUUAUCUAGUUCUUUGUUGUCUGUGAGAUAAGUUUUGACCAUUUGGCACUUCAAACACAAAUCUUCUAGGCAUAGAUGGAUCUCUUGUUGUAUUUCUCCUAAAGAAAUAUCCAUAAUUCUUCUUUGUCUGCUAAGAAAAGAUUUCUCAACCUACUAGGAUAACUCUUUAGGGAUGGAAGUCAGGAAAAUUUGCUUUAGAUUUGGAUCAGCUUCAAUACCAUAUAAAAGUUUGAGCAUUUAUCAAUAAUGUUUAUCGAGAUGCUUUUUCUGAAGAGAGCAACAUUUUCUUUUAAAGAAUUCUCUCCUUGUGAGCUCAUGAAGGUCAGGAGGUUUUCCAAUAAAAAAAUGAUAUAAGAGGGAAAUGGCAUGGCUGAAAUCUGAUGAAAGUAAAAAUUGAACUUGCUUUUGUUCUGUCAUCGAUUGUCACCAAUGUUUGAGACUUCCUGUAAACCUUGUGACAAAACCAAAAAUGACAUCAUAUUUAUCCUGAUUGGUAAGAGCUUGGGCAUUUAACCAAGUAUAAAAUUUCUCAAAUCUUUCUGGCCAUUUGGAAUAGGUGUCGCGACCAAAUUUUUGGAUGUGUACCACCUAAGGUUUGGCUAAUGGAUUGUUAAGUCUAGACUUAACUCGGGCUCUCCCAAGCCCAUACCAAUUCUCGACUUAAGUUCAAAUUUCUUAACAUGCAAAUAGAUUUUAUUUAGGAGUCGCCACUAAAUAAUUUACAAUAGGUCGAUUAGACACCUAAGUAAAAUAAUGGGAAGAUUAUUUUACUCCUACGAACCAGAGAGUUUGGGUACGAGGACUUGAUUACAUUAGACUUUUCUAAUACCUUUUCGGUACCAUUUCUUUUAUUUUCAAAAAAAAAAAAUGUUUUACAAGCAGCUUGAAUUAAUUUUAAUUCACUUCCCUAACAUGUUAGGUGAUCAUGCGGGUGUGCAAAUCAUCAAUUUAACACCCAAAUAAAACAGUGAAUAAAUUGCAAGAUUUACCUCAUGGCAUCGAAAGCAUCUACAGUGUUAGAUCAGAAUUUACAUCAACAGUCCUAGAUAUGAUUUCUAAUUAACACGCCAUCACUCUAUUUUUGUUUUCACUUUUUUAACGAGAAUAUAAUCCAUAUGUAAUGUAAUGCAUCUAAUCUAAUAUGAAAUGAUAUGGCAUGGCAACAUGACUUAGCUAUAUGACCUAAGUGAUAUGACAUAAAUAAGCAUGUAGUCUAUCCUGAAGCAUGAGAUGGAUUUAUUCUAAAAAAUAUUUUUUUGUAGUUUCCAUGAGAUUUGAAAUUAAAGAAAUGCAACACUUAAAUAUGCAAUCUAAAUUAAUCGAAUGACCUAAUUUCAAUGACGUGCAAUUUCUAAUUAAAUGAACCUAACAAAAAUCACUAAAUGACAUGCAUUGUAUGAACCUAAUUCUAUAUGAUAUGCACAUGAUUUUUAUUUUCCUAAUAAGCAUGCAAUAUAUCAUAAUAUGGAAUGACGUGCAAAGAAUGCCCGAAUUCUAAUUUUUAUAUGAAAUUUGAAAUUAAAAUUGCCAAAUAAUUAAACGUGUAAUUCAAAUUUAAAACUAACAUCCUAAAUGAAUGCAUUUUUUUGGAUUUUUAUUUUUAAAAAUUCGAAAUAAAAUCUCUAUCCUAAAUAUGCAAGAUAACCCUAAAACAAGAAAUAUUCUAAAAUGCAUCUAAUCUAACUCAAAUAUAUUUUUUUGGUUUUUCCUUUUCGGAAGCAAUCAAAUAAAGGCAUUAAGAAUAGCACAGCAACAAAUCAAGCAAUAUAUCAUCUAUGUCCAUUUAAUUUUGGGAAUAAAUUGACGAAUCAUAUCUUGCGCAUGAGAUCGGAUUGACCAAUUUUUAAAUAAAAUCACGAAUCGUAUAUCGAGCGUGAGAUCGGAUUGGUGAUUUUUCCGUGCGAUUGCGAGUCAUAUUUCAAGCGUGAAAUCGGACUGUCAAUCGUAUGCAUGUUGUGAAAUUAGAAAGAUUUCCCAAUUCAUGAGGGAUCAAGAGAUCUCUUGGAUACGACAAUACCGAUCAAACAUUCAAAGGAAGAUUGCUAUAUCACGAAUUAGGUAGACAUAUAUGAAAAUCAAAUUAAUUGAGAGUCUUACCUAAUUCACGAUAUCACGCAGGUGACGUUUCCAAAUUCGAACGGAUGAUGGGUCAUGAGAAUCACGAUGAGGAAGAUCGAUGAUCCGUAGCAUGCACGGUCGCUCGGUAAUCGUCGGACGCAUUCCACAAGACGGAGUACUUUGGAAUUCUAUCCGAGAACUUCAGCUUCUUUUCACUUUGCUAUCAAGCUUCGCCUUUUAAAAAAAGCUUGAGCAAAACAGGACAAAUUUCACCGCUUCUUUUGCAUUGGAAACGCCCUCUUGUGCCCAUUGAAGAACCUGGUGUUAGUUGAGUUGUUCAGAGAAUCAUCAAAGCAGUUGCGGCAGGUUCAAGACUUGCUAAUAGAUGACUCGAUUAAUUGCCUCUAGAUGGACGUCGGGGCGGCCGUGGGAGAUGACCGAUGCUCACGGUGACGCCUGCAAACACGAAUACUGUGAAUUCAAGGAACGGCGACGCUUGGCUUGUGGUAAAACUCGCUGGCUGCCGGGGCGGUGACUGGAUUCAGUCAAGGAAGACCUGCAAUAAUAAAAAUUCAAACGAGAGUAAAAUAACUGGAUCGGUAGAGGUCUCGGGCACGUCAAGGACGCCUGGAAAAUUUUCUCUCAUUCCAUGUUGAUCUCCAAGCAUCGCCAAGUGGAGCUUUGUUAAAGCCGCCAAAAUCUAAACGUCGUGAGUUUUUUACCAUCGUUAUCGGAGGCUCCUUGGCGUGUGAUCAUCGUCGAAGGUUGCACCUCGGCUGGAUAGCAAAUCGUCAUGGGUUCUCGGUGGUGAAGGCUUCUCGACAAGGAAGCGUUGAUUAUUAUUUUCUGAAAUUUGUACAGCGCCACGAACCAAACUCUUCACGUUAUCCUUGCCCAAAAAUAUCCUUUGCUUGCAUGAAAUAAACUCACAAAAAUCUCACUUCUGGACAACACCCAGAAGAAGACAAAUCCACCACUUGGGCUUAUUUCACCAAAAUCUUGCUACUUGUUUUGCCUAUGGACUUCGGGGCAACGAGAGAUGCAGCUCGGACUUCAGGCUCGCGAGCGGUGGCCACAAAAAUCUGGCGUGACUUUCACGUAUGUGGAGAGAUAUUGGCCUUGCUGGACAUCGGCGAAUCCAUCGGGCAUAGAUGGAACUCCACAGGAGUCUCGCUGGCUCUAAAAUAUGAUGAAAGUGACUCAGACGAUCCUGAGUUGUGUUGGUGAGGAGCUUGCCGGGACCGCUGGACACUCCUGGGAGCUUGACCUGAGGUGCGUUGCUGGUGGUAGGACUCUUGAUGGAUCAGCAAUAGCGACGUGAGGGUAGGCGUAGUGGUGAGGCUACGUGAGGAUUGCAGAGAUAACAAGGUCACAGCUGCGAAAGGGACUUGGCCGUGACUUCUCUUCUUUCUCUUUUUUCUCAGUGUGUGCGAAGCCCCCCUACAUACGGCCAUGUGUAUUGAUAUGUGUGGCUUCCUUUGAAACCCUACGUGAAAAACCUUUUUAUAGGCUGAGGAUUAGAGUUUUAAUUUCCUUUUCAAAUCAACAUCCGCGAAAAUUUCUUUUUCACAUGUAAUAUCACUUUUUUUUAUUUUCCAUAUCUCAUAAUUUUAUCUCCUAAAGAUAAGAUUGCAACCUGAUUUUCUUAAAUUCCAAAAAUCCACCGUAAUAUCAUUUCAAAUCUCAAGUUAGGUAAUUUUUGUCAUUAAAAGAAAAUGGGCUUGGGCCAAUUUACUUGCUUUGUGGGCUUAGUCCGAUCUGCCAAAUUAAAGCUUAGAACCACUAAUCCGAAUCCAUCCACCACCGAUCCAAUAAAAUGCAAAAAUGUAAAUUAAAAAUAAAUGCACCUAAAUCUAUAUGCAAUUAAUAUUUUUUCAGGGAUAAAAUUGACCCCUAAUUUUCUAUGCAAUAAAUAAAUGAUCGGAUCGCCAAAAUUUAGGUGUCAACAAUAGGAAAUAUUGUCAACAUUGAAAAACUAUUUGGAGGAAGUGGUCAUAUUUAGAGAAGGAUUGUUUGCUUGAACCACAUCUGGUUCAGAAGGGUUGGAUUCCAUAUCCUGAUCUGGAGGGUUAGCCAUGAAUAUUGAUGACGUUACCAGCAUAAUAGGGAAGGAGUCAAGGUCAGGGAUUGAGAAGGAUGAAGAGGUUGAAGGAGAUAGCGAAUUUGACUCAGUGUCAAAAUUGUUCGAAAAAAUCGAUUCUAUUAGAAUUUGGUCUUUUGAAGGUGAUAGGAUUCUUCCCGAUUGCUAAGAUCUUUCAAAAAUGAUUCUAACGGAUUUGAUAGCAUCAUUUGGCUUGGCUUUUCCUUUAUAACAAGCGGGGAUUCUUCAAGCAUCUUCUAUUUUCCCUUUUCUUUCCUUAUUCGAUCCAGUUCUUUGAGGCGAUUUCGCAUAUCUACCACAUCUGUCUUAUCUUAUCUAAUAGGAACGUCUGUGAGGGCAGCAAAGAUAGAAGUAUUCUGAGGUUGUGGAAGCGAAUGCUCUAUCCGCACCAUAGUUGAAAAUGGUUUGAAAGGAUUUGACCUUCCUUCUUCAAGGAGUUGGAUCUGUCUUUUGAGCUUUUCUAUUUCCGCCUUGGGACUUUCAAUAUGAUGAUAUCUCAAAUGUUGUCUAGAUUCCAAGGCAUGAAGCCUCUUUUGGAAGUCCGAAAGCAUCUUCUUGGUGGUUUCAUCAUAUCUUCGAAGAUCUUGUUGCACGUUCAUAAUUUUGGAGUCAAGUGCAUUGAAUGCAUUGUUGUGUGCUAAAAGAGUCACCGAUUGCUAAUUCAGGACAGCUUCAACAACAGGAGUUCUUUUCUGUCUUCCAUGUUCAUUCACAUCAGUGGGGGCAAGUAUUUUAAGAACAUGCCAAUAUCUGCCUUGUGGAUGAAUGAAUUCUUCUGGAGCAGGGAAUGAAAGUUGCAAGUUUUCACGUAUAAGAGGAGGAAUCUCUGCCUCUCGAAACAUAGCAAUGGAAGAGCUAGGCGGUGUUGCUUGUGGAAUUUUGAGUGAGUAGGAAUGUUUUUUUGCCCACUUUAAGAUUGGCUUAUAGAACGGGAUAAUGGAUGAUUUCUUUUGAGGAGGAGGUGAUGGUGGUGACAGUGGUGGAUCCGGUGAAACAAAGGGUGGAGCAGUGAACUCUAGUGGUGGAGUUGAAGCAUAAGAAACCAUAAAUUGAAAUUUAUCACACUCACCAAGAGUGUCAAUGGAGGAGUCUCCGUUUAAGUACCUUUGAUACAUGAUAUCUUUUGACUUUCUAUGCUUCCGUCGGGGUUUUGCAUAUGGGUCUACUUCGUCAGGAGAAUUUGUACAAUAGGAAUAUUGACAUAAAGGAUCCCAGAAGCAGUGACCAUAUUUGUCUUUGUAGUAAUGGACAGGGUCUCCAUUACUCUGGAAAUAUUGAACAAGCUUUUUGGGGUCUGGCUCAAUAAUUGACUCAGAAACGCAUGGUUCAAUUAUGCAGAGGGUCUAGAAGAUAGAAGGACUUUCUUCCAUUUCCUUGCCAAACUUGAUGGAAAUAGUGCCAUCUUUCUUUCUGACAAAUUCGGAAUCUAAAGAAUGGAAAGGCUUGUUGUUCUGAUUUAGCUUUUCACUUGAAAAUGACGAUGUUGAAUCUCUAUUCUCUGUAGAUGAAGAACCAUCUGAACAAACUCUUUCACAUAUCCCUCACUUCAUCAGAACAAAACCCUGACAUAUUUUCAAGCCAAAUCCAUUGUCCCCAUUUUCCUAUGAAAAUCUUCACUUCAAAGUUUGUCAAAUCUAUCACUGUUAUUGCUCUCAUAGACACUGGUGCAAGUUGUUCAAUCUUAGAUACUAAAGUACUUCUUGAAUGGAAAAAAGCCUUUCUGGGUUCAUCACAUUGCUCAUUUUUCAACACUUACAUGGCACUCUUAUAUUUCAAAUAAGUAGUCCCCUUCCGUUUUCCCCCGGACUCUAUUUUCCUCGUUCCCGCUACUAACUCUCCAACAACCCAUACGGGUGUCACCUCUUACCGGCAAAAAAAAAAAAAAGCACAUGAACAUCGGUUUCCACCAUAAUUGAUCAUAUUAUUUUACGUAUUUUUAUUAAUAACCAAAAUAUACGAACAAGUGCAAUACAAGAGAGAAUUAUAGUUUGUUGAACAAGGAGGUAUAAUUAUUCAUCAGACUCUACGUAAUUGACUCUAUGAUGUACAAACCAUGUUCCCUAUUAUCACGGACAUAAGGUAUAUCUAAUGGACUAGCUAUCUUAUUUCUUCGAUCCUCCUUAGCUUUAACUUGUACAAUGUAACCCAAAGUUCCCAUGAGUACAAACACACCAAUAGCAUUCUCAUUUACUAGUGCGCCACUUCCCCAUUUUCCUGGUCAAGAAACGGAUAAUCUAUGUAACCAACAACUGGUCUUGAGUAUAAAAUGUCUCUCUGUUGUAACCAUUCAAUGGUGCAUCCACCUUGAAUCGGUAGACCAAAUCAGGGUUAGAGAUGAAGAGCCGACCAAACGAUAUCAAGUCCGUGUCACCUCCAGCCAAAGCCUUCAUCCCGAGCUCUCGGGUGAAACCGCCGGUUAACAUGAAAGUACCUUGAUAAGCUCUCCUCCAAGUUCUCGUCAAUCGAGCUUCUCCAUCCUCCUCUUGUUCGCCAUAAUUUUUCGUGCCAUUGGCUGUGAAUUGAGGUUGAGGCACGUGGAGAUAUGCGAGUUUGGAACCUAUCUCAUUUUGGAACUUGUUCAAUCGCUCGAUGACUGCUAGGCCUAGACUGAGUGGAUCGGGGUCCAUGGCAUCAUUGUGUCAACUACUAGUGAGAUUUUAACUCCCAUUCGAUCAGUGCCAACUUCUUCAGCCACCACUUUGAUGAUCUCCAUCAAAAAUCUGCAUCCAUUCUCAGUUGAUCCUCCAAAUUCAUCUACUCUAUCAUUGAUUGAAUGCUUUAAGAAUUGAUCAAUGAGAUAGCCAUGUGCUCCAUGCACCUCAAAACCAUCAAAACCUAAAGUUGAAAUCGAUUUGAUUAUUAAUACUUAUGUGCAACAAACGAAGAAAAUAAAACUAAUUUAAGCAUCCAUCACGAUAUGACUAUAGUUCAUGGACUAACUUGCUUGAAUGGCAUUUGCAGCUGCUUGGCGAUAUUGCUCGAUAACUUGCCAUACUUCAUGUGUUUGGAGAGCUCUUGGUUUGUGAGGAACAUCAAGAGUCCCGUCGGGCAUGAUGAUUUUCCAUUUAUCGGAGAUAGAUUGAUUUGUCGACGAAAUCGGAGCGCCUCCAUCGGGUUCAUAAACUAAUACGAUCACUAUUAAAUAAUACAAUUUGUUGUUAGAAACAAGUAUAGAAGGUGAAAUUUAAUAAGUUAACAUUGCCAAAGUAGGAAAAAAGUAUAACAGUAAAAACAAAUUGUCAAAGUCAAACAGUGCAGGUCGUGAUUAUGUGAUAUAUGGGGGAGCUACAGAGAUAUUUUGUGGCGUCGGUUUGAGAAAACGAAUUUAGUACCACGGUUGGAGGCACGACCAACGUGCCAAAGUUGACAGAAGAUGAUGCCGCCCUUGGAAUGAACAGCAUCCACCACCUUCUUCCAUGCUUUGACUUGCUCUUUAGUGUAAAUCCCAGGAGUACCUGGAAACCUGGUUUAACAACAUUUUAUUUCUCAAAGUUAAAGAUCCUCCUAUGAUCCAAAGCGAAGUUCAUAUUACUUGCUGUCAAGCAAUGAAUAGGGUAUAAAUAGCUUGCGGUGCUCAGGUGUACAUCGGUAUGUAGACAAUUUCUGUUCCUUUCUGCGUGAUAUAUAGAAGACAGCUUGAUCUCAGGACAAAAGGACGUACCAAGCAGCCGUGUCAGAGAUGAGGGUGCCUUCAGUGAUGAUAAAACCACCCUUGGUCGUUCUUUGCGCAUAGUACUCUGCAUGCACCGGCAAUGGAAUCCCAUCGAUCGCUCUACAUCUCGUCAAAGGCGCUAGCACUACUCUAUGAGAGAUAUCAAACUUGCCCAUCCGGCAUGGAGUAAAGAGGUUCGCGGCCAUUUCGUGUGUAGCUUGUAUUCUGUCAAGAACGAACAGCAAGGAUUGAUACUAAGAAUAUGAUGGUGAAGAUUUGAAGACGGUGCGAUGUGAAGUUGGUCGAUAUUGCUCAUCGGUUUUUAUAGUUUGGUGUUGCCAUUUGAACAUAGCAGUAAGAACCGGGAAGAUUCACCGUAAUUCAGUUUUGUUGGGAAUGACUGAUCCCCGAAAAUCAUGAUUCGACACUAAAUCGAACCCCUAAAUCAAUGCGGAAGCGAAGCCCAAGAAAACGACACAUAUCACCGAUCGUAAAGCACACCACGGAUUCGAGCGUACCUUGAUUGCCACAGAUUAGACACCGACGCCGUCAGAGGAAGAGAAAUUGAGCCUUGUUCGAUCCGAGGAGGCAAACUCCUUCAAUUGCUUCACUGUUUCGCUUUUGGAGAAAACGGGAGAGAGGGAGAGAGCGUUGAGAGAAAAACAGCGUACGUACAAUUAACCAACGGUAGUUUUUCUCUAUGAUGGUGAAGAUUUGAAGAUGGUGCGAUGUGAAGUUGGUCGAUAUUGCUCAUCGGUUUUUAUAGUUUGGUGUUGCCAUUUGAACAUAGCAGCAAGAACCGGGAAGAUUCACCGUAAUUCAGUUUGAACAUGGCGAGGUUUGAUUUUGAUAUGACUAAGUCGUCGCAUGUUGGGAAGGUCGAAUUGCAAUUUACUUUCUUUAACCUCACUUUUCUCCUUGCAAAAUUGUUUUAAAGACGUUGACGUAUAGAACAUGUGGUUCUAACGUUUCUUUAUUUUCUUUAUUGCCCAACGGGGUUCUUACGUUCACCGUUCAACAUUUCAUCGCCUGCUGCGCUGCUACGAAGUCGGUGGGGGGUUCGUUCCUAUUCAUAUAGACCUGUCCGGAGAAUCUAAUAUUUAUAAAUAAUAAUAUGUUGCGUUAUAUUAUUUAUAAUAGUGAUAAUGACAUUUUUCUAUUGGCUUUUCUUGGGUGACUAGAACUAUUUUGAGUUCGACUUCGUAUUAUUAGAAUUUCCCUGCCAUGUGCUUUUUUGAUUAUGCACGAGAAGAACAAAAGAUUUGGACGGCAUUUAGAUUUCAAUUUCGACUACACCAUCGACAUCUCAUGUAGGAAAUUUCAAGGGGAAGAAUAGAAAUAGUCUCGACAUGCAACUUUGUCUCAGCUUGAGUCGGGCCUCCUGGAGCCAUGAGAACCACAAAUGUAGCGAGGAGAGGUCCGGAGAUAGUCGGAAUAAACCCAUGCCUUCAUCUAUUGACUAUUCUUUUCUUUUUUUUCUUUUUCCCACAAAGAUAUAAAUGCUUGAUAGCGAUGAUGAAACGAACAUGGUUUCAUUAGUCAAGACUAAAGAAGUCGUAGAUUACCGUGACUCUUAUUCAAUAGCUUUCUGUUUGGACCAAUUAGUCAUAAGCAUGUCGAACUUGUAUGCUCAUAUAGCACACUUUAAUAUAUCGUGUUGUGUCUUGUUGAGGAUUGCAAAAAUAUGAAAAUAUAUUAUUGAUGGAUAAUUGAAUAGGGAGAGAGAGAAAGCAACUGAUGGUACUCGUGAGAGAGAUUGAACUUGCCCGUUUACAUGGAAUGAUGAGGUUCAAAGCCAAUGAGCGUAGUGUCACGGGCCGAAAGAAGGACGACCCGAGAGGUUCCCCGGAGUCGACCAUGACUCGUCCAUGAUAGACCUCCUAUGCUCGCUCGGAUUCCCAACGAGCGUUCUCCUCGAAGUUUCUAGAAGACUCUAGCUUCAUUUAUGUCGGUAGCUAGUAGUUGGCAUUUAUGUCUAGUAGUUGAAUACUUAUGUCGGUAGUUGAGGCGAUGCGAUCUCGUCCGCUGAUAGAAUUCUAGAUCAAUGGAUGUAAUCCGAGGUCCUCAACUAUAAAAAGGGGUGUCCUCCUUCAUUUGUAAGCAUCCACUACUUCCGCAAUACAAAGCAAAAUUUCUUUCCAAAGCUCUUCUCUCUAGAUUCUUUCUCUCUCUACAAUCUGGAUAAGCGAGCGAGUUAGUGUUCGAUCGAGCAAGGCUUGGCUUAGGUGCUUUGGUGAUCCAAUCCAAUCCUAAAGCGCCCGAGUUGCCGCACAAUCAUGAUCCCAAUCGAUCGGCCCAUGACAAGUGGUAUCAGAGCUAAAGAGAGAUCCGUUUCCAAGAGAUUGAAGAGCGCCAACUGUUCGAGAGAAUGUCAAGCCAAGAAGCGGCUAUAGUUGGAGAGGUUGUGCCAGUCAAGGACACGCGCGGCAAAGCAAAGAAGAGAGAUGCCUCAGUGGAUGCUACGGCUAUGUUCGAUGAGAAGCUUGGGAAGGUUCGAAGUGUCGUGCUCAAACUCAUGGAAGAUCUUGACGAUGUGCGAGACCGGAUCAUGGAGGUUGAAGGCUCGCUCCAUGAAGACUUCACGACCAGCAUCAACCAAGCUACAGCUCCAUUGUCCGACAAGGAUGAAGCUCUCGAAUCAUCGAUCGAUGGUUUGAACGAGCGUGUCCAAGUGAUCAAGGAGGUAAGCCCGUGUAGGGAAGAGGUCGAAGCCAUGAAGGCAGAGAUCCAAGAGCUCAAGAACGAGCUCGCCCUAUGCAAACUAAGCAUCAUGAAUGGUGCGGUGCCUACUCAAGUGGUGCCCAAAAUUGAGGUGUCGAAGCCAAAGGAGUUCAAAGGCAACCGAUCCGCCCAAGAGGUGGACAACUUUGUAUGGAGCUUGGAGCAGUACUUUGGUGCCGUCAACAUCCGAGACGAGUCGAUCAAGGUUAGAACAUCUUCCAUGUUCCUUACUAAUACGACGAUGCUGUGGUGGCACAAUAGGUGCGACGAGAUUCGACGUGGCACCAAUCCCAUGAGCACGUGGGGCGACUUCGUGAGGGAGUUCCACGACUACUUUUUCCCCGAGUUCGCUCAACAAGAAGCUCGUAGCAUGCUCCAUUGCCUCGAGCAAAGAGGCGCAAUCAGAGAGUAUGUGAAGGAGUUCACGGAGCUCAAACUCCAAAUUCGCAACCUAAGCAAAGAGGAGGCUUUCGGAGUGUCCAUGGAUGGAUUAAAGCCAUGGGCACAACUUGAGCUGAAGCGGUGGGACGUGAAUAGCCUUGCGAGAGCACUAAGUAUGGCCGAGUCUCUCGUUGAUCUCACCAAGGUUGAGCCGAUGAACAACCGAGCAAGAGAUUGGAGGUCGGAUUGACCCAUAGACGAAGGAAAAAAUGCUCCCCAAAGCGCGCACUCGAUCGAAGUGGCCAAAUCAAGACGUGGGGAGAAGGGUCUUCCAAGCCGUCCUUCCAAAGGGGUCAACCGCAACGAACUGCGCGAGUAAGUUCGAUCAACCUCCGUCCUUUCCUUGCUUUAUUUGCAAAGGUCCGCACUAGACCCAAAAGUGCCCGAAGAGGGGUCGCAUCAACGCCCUCCUAGCCAUCGACGAGGUGGAGGAGGAGCCCAAAGAAGAAAGGCGGCAAAUCCGACUUGGAGGCGUGAAGACGAUCAACUCCGUCCAAGCUCGAUCACCAUCCAAAGAAAAAGCUGCGUCGAACUCAGAAAUGUUCUUCGUGAAGGUCGACGUGUGUGACCAAACACUCUUCACCUUGGUCGACACGAGAGCAUCGAACAUGUUCAUGUUGACCGAGGUAGUGAAGGCCUUAAAGCUUCGCGUGGAACCAACUGGAAAUACCUUCAAGCCGAUCAACUUGGAGGGUGUCCAUGGCGUAGGAGCAACUUCGGACGUGGACGUCAAGAUUGGCAGAUGGAAGGGUAAAAUGGAUUUCGAGGUAAUUUCUCUUAACGAUUAUCAUCUCAUCCUUGGUAUUCAAUUCUUCGAUAGCGUGAGAGCCAUGAUCAACAUGAGGAACAAGUGCAUUGUGAUCCUCGACCCUAAACACCCAACGACGAUCCCCAUGAUCAAAGGGGUGGUCGACACCAAGACCAUCGCCACGAUCCGACACCUCGACAAGAACUUGAAGUCCGUAAAGCGACUAAACAAGCUGGUCGAGGUGAAGCCGAAGAUAGAGUUGGAUCCUACUCCAACGCACGCCAUGCCCAUUCAAGUGCUCUUCCUCAAGGUUGAGUGCAUGCCGCAUGCUCCAUCCAAGCCGAAGAUGGAGCCGCGUGAUAAGUCCGAGUUCAUCAUUGAAGGGUGUGGUCCUUCAUUCGUGAGCGUCCAUACCAAGCAAAACAGAAACAAUAAGGUGCGUGCCAAAGCCCAUGCUCGUGCCAAGAAGGCCGACCACCAAGUUGUGAGCGACGAGGACGUCGCUCGAUUGAGUGGGGAAGAAUGUCACAGGCCAAAAGAAGGACGACCCGAGAGGUUUCCCGGAGUCGACCGUGACUCGUCCGUGGUAGACCUCCUGUGCUCACUCAAAUUCCCAACGAGCCUUCUCCCCGAAGUUUCAAGAAGACUCUAGCUUUGUUUAUGUCGGUAGCUACUAGUUGGCAUACUUAUGUCGGUAGUUAAGGUAGUGCAAUCUCGUCCGCCGAUAGAAUUCUAAAUCAAUGGAUGUAAUCCGAGGCCCUCAAAUAUAAAAAGGGGUGUCCUCCUUCAUUUGUAAGCAUCCACUACUUCCGCGAUACAAAGCAAAACUUAUUUCCAAAGCUCUUCUCUCUAGAUUCUUUCUCUCUCUACGAUCCGGAUAAGCGAGCGAGUGAGCGUUCGAUCGAGCAAGGCUUGGCUUAGGUGCUUCGGCAAUCCAAUCCGAUCCUAAAGCGCCCAAGUCACCGCACGGUCACGAUCCCAAUCGAUCGGCCUUUGAUAGUAGCCUAUAUCCAACUAAGAAUGAACAAACCAAGAAGAUGUAGGCAAAGUUGGUAAAAGAGAGGUCACAUCUGGCAAAAUUCCUCCUGAACAGACCAAGAUAUCAUUGCCAUCUGGUAUUUUUCUAAUGCGCCAUCUAUAUGUAAUCUAACAUACUUAAUUCAAGUAACGACUGGAUUAAGAUUUUUUCACAAAAUCUAUUUGAGCUAGAAGUAAAAGGCCAAGCCGAACGGCAAGGGGGAGAAAAAAUCUCGGUAAAAGCACAAUUAAUGUGGCACAAAGGGAGAGAAAUUCUAGAAAUAUCAAUCAAAAUCACAAACAAAUUUCAUACUAAAACUAAGAGAUUGACGACUUUUAUAACAUAAGGCUCUUUUCAUUCAUCAUAGUGAUUUGAAAUAUUCUCAUUGGGUCUUAUUUUAGAUUCCUCACCUACCAUUAACCAUAUAAAAAAGAAGCUGGACUAUAACAUUAGAGAUUGAAGAUAGAAAACCCGGGGAAAAAAAAGACAGAGAAAACAAAAUGGUUCUGCUAAGAAACCUAUGAAAUCACUCUUUUAAAGUUAUAAUUUUUCCCAGGAUACAAUUUAACUUCUCAAACUCUUUGAACAUAAACACAAGAAAAAUGGAAUAACUUUACUAAGAAAAGGAGUAUGCUUGUAUAAGAAUAAUGAACCAAUAUAUCUUCUGUACAGACACAAUCACUUGAUUGACAUUGUUUAACUGCCAACAUACAUUUUUGUCUAAAAUGUUAAUAUUAAUUAAAAUAACAUUCAAAAUUGCUUAACCACAACUUCUCAAGUCCAAUCAAGAUUAAAUAUAAUCAGGCGUAUUCAAUGGAAAAUGUCCACUUGAGUGCCCAUGCCUUUAAAAAACAAAAACAUGGUUGCUCUCAUAUACAAACAAAAUAGUUUCCUUCUUUUUUUCCUACGUGGGACUCUUUUUUAUUUCCACACUCACAUUACAAACUCUCGAACAACACCGCUCAUGAACCACUGGGGUUUGCCCCAAUGGCCAUCCUUCCAACAUGGAAGGGAGAUGUGAGGAGUUCGAAUCCACCCUUCUAACAUGGAAGGGGGUGGGGGAUUCGAAUCCCUACCUUCUCAAGAAAGUUGGGGUGGGGACGAUAUAGUUUCAGGAGUGGAUUUCAAUUCCCAUGCCCUACAAGAAGAUAAGUCAAAAGUCUGAGAGUGAGCGUUAGAGUAAGAAUAGAAUAGGACCAACCAAAAAAAGAAAAAAAAAAAAAACAACAACACCGCUUACAGCUUCUCUAGCGGCCAAUAAGAAAUAAAUAAACAGCAGAAUCGACGUAAUACAUUACGUGCAUGCCAGGAGGCUAGGAGAGUCGAAUCGCAAUUUGGUCUUCUUUGACCUUCUUUCUCUGCAAGAAAAAAUCGUGUUUAAGAAUGUCGUACCGACGGUGUACGUGGAUGGAAAAUCGGCGAUAUUCAUGCCAAGGUCUCUUCCCCGGUGUGGUUCUUACAUUGACCAUUUGACAUUUCAUCACCUGCUGAGAAAAUAAUAAUAAUAAUAAUCAUAUGGUUCCCUUAAUUUAUAAUAAUGAUAAUUACAAUGAAAUUUUUCUCUUUGCUUCUCGAUUGAGAAAAAUCUAAUUGACUUCUACCGUGCACAAUUAUAAUUCAUAUGCGAGAUGAUCGCUUGAUGAUGUGUGAGAACAAGAGGUAUGGACGCAACUUUGAUUUCGAUUUGGACUAUCCCAUAGACAUCUCGUGUAGAAAAUUUUCAAGGGGGAUCAUUGCACAAAAAUAUCAUUUUUUAUUGCUCUAUGUACAAUCAACAUAUUGAAAAAAUGAAAAUCUUUUUUCAUUAGGUAUGAUUAAUAAUCGCACUAAGAAUCUUUUUAAGAUAGGAACACUAAAAUAAGUGAUUACUCUAUAUAUACGUAUAAAAAAAUUUCUAAUUUGAGCAUGUAAUGAAUGUAGAGGUAAUAAUAAUACAUUCAUUGGAGGGAAUAAAGAGUAUUUAUAUAAAUUCUGGAAUGAACUAAAUAAUCGACAAUGUGCAUUAUUCGAAUUCCAUCUCUAUGAUCUUGGGAAAAAAUAUUUAAGUGAAUUUUUCUUUUUUAUUGCUUAUCUCUUGAAUUGCCGCGCUUCAUGCAAAUUGUCGUGCUCCAUGCACAUGCACUUUCGUUCAUAUUGCGAGCGUGUUUCUUGUAUUUGCGACCAAGGAUUCUCAUUAUUUCCAUUCCCGUUGUGUCAUAUACCUUCUUAUAUUGUGAAUUAAACUUAGUAUGAACGAUUUUUUUAUACAGAGUAGUCUUAAAUGGAAAUAUCAAAUCGGUUGUGAAAGUAAUAUACUUGCCAAAAAUUAAAAAAUUCACUAACCCUGCCUCAUGUAGUGGGCUUACUUCUUCAAACUGCCAGCGUGCAGAAGGCCCAAUAUGCAGGUCUCCAAGGCCCAAGCCCAACGUAGAAAAGCCCAGCUUCGUCCUCUGCGAUCGCGUCGUCUUCCGCAUUGCAGCCGGUGGGAACCCCAACCGCCAUUAUCAUCUCGCGCAGAAACCAGAGAAGAAAAUACAAAUUUGAGAAGCCCUCCUUUGAUUGGCGCGAUGAGUUCCCUUUCAUCACUGGGCUGAUAACUAAUUUCAGGAACUUUUCUAAUAUAUCGAGCAAUUGAAUCUUUCAGCAAAUUCUUCACUCAAACUCUAAACUGAACAAUUAGCAGCCGAAUCUAAUGGAUUCGAAACCCGUUAGCGAUAAUGCUGCCGCCCCAAGGAAGGUUGGUUCAUGCUGGCUACUGCCUCUUGGGUUUUUUUAUUUUAUUAUUUAUUUAUUUAAUAUUUGUUAUUUCUGCUAAAUGAAGAAUUGCAUUGGCUGUCUGUGGAUGGUCUUCUUGGCCGUUGUUUUUUGUUUCUUGGGUAAUGGAUGUUUUGUGCUGUAGCGUUGCAGGUGAGAUUUGUGCAUAAGGCUCUAAACGAGAUAUGAUAUGAUUCUGGUUUCGGAAUAUCUCCCGUAAUGAAACUUAUUUUGUUUUUUUCGUACAAAACAAUGGUCAUAGCUCGUGAUCAGCUAUUAUAAUUAUCACCCGUCAAAACCAUGCUAACUAAAUUCGAACCAAGGCUAUCCAAGGCAUGGAGGAAGUACGAACUAUUGUUCCGUUCAUGAGCUGGUGUGUGGCUAGAGGCUUCCUCAGCCCGGGAGCUUAGUUUGGACAUGAUAACCAAUCCAAAAACAAAAGAUGGUGCGCAGAAAAAUCAAUCAAAGCAAAUUAAUAAAGGGUCCGUAAGAGAAGCAAAUAGACGGCUAGUGGUCGCUGGCCAAAAUCGAAUGACUGAAGGCAAGAGAUAGGCUCAAUGAUCACCGUGCUCUGAUACCUAGUCGUAGGACUUUCAUUUCGACUUUCCUAGUUACCACUCCAUGGGUCGUAUGAAAAGCAUCGAUAAAGACUCAUGUUCAAAGCGCUAUGCACCUCCUAGAACUCUUCUUGGAGUCUGAGCUUAGAGGUCUCUUUUAUCAGCUUAUUCCACUUCCGUAGGGACUCUUCCAAGUCAUCUAAUCCCGUAGCUUUUAAGAGGUAUCUGGAGAGCAGGACGCUGGUAGGAGGAUCACAGACUCAAAGCCUGAGAAGCCGGGAGGAUUGGUUUACCACCGGUCCUUUAUUAAGUAAAUAAAUAACUCAUGAUCUCAAAAAGCAGAGGCUCUGAUCAUCCCUGUGCUCUGAUACCAUGCUUCCGAAUAGAAUAUGAAGAAUAUUGGAGAAAAUUGUACUACGUAUUUAUUGACUUUCCUACAAGUAUUACAAGCCUAUUUAUAAUACAAGAAGGUUGUACAAUGGGAAAGAAUAUAUGCAAUAACGUUUCAUAUUCUAUAUUUCAAAUAUAUAAUUUAACGGAUUGAUCAUGUCAAUUAACCCGCAAUUAGAAUAAUUAGAAUCAAAUCAUAUCUCAUUCUCUAAUAGGCUCCUUGAAAGCCAAAACCUGCUAUUGUCAAGAUGUAUGGAAAAUAGCCUUUCUAGGUUCAUCACAUUGCUCAUUUUUCAACACUUACAUGGCGCUCUCAUAUUUCAAAUAAAUCGUUCCCUUCCAUUUUCCCCCCGAACUCUUUUUUCCACGUUCCCACUACAAACUCUCCAACAACCCAUAUGGGUGUCACCUCUUACCGGCAAAAAAAUAAAAGAGCACAUGAACAUCAGUUUCCACCGUAAUUGGUUACAUUAUUCUACGUACUUUUAUUAAUAAUCAAAAUAUACGAACAAGUGCAAUACAAGAGAGAAUUAUAGUUUAUUGAAAAAUGAGAUAUAAUUAUUCGUCAGACUCUACAUAAUUGACUCUAUAAUAUACAAACCAUGUUCCCUAUUAUCACGAACAAAAGGCAUAUCCCAUUAACUAGUUAUCUUAUUUCUUCGAUCCUCCUUAGUGCUUUAACUUGUACAAUGUAACUCAAAGUUCCCAUGAGUACAAACACACCAAUAGCAUUCUCAUUCACUAGUGUGUCGCUUCCCCAUUUUCCUGGUCAAGAAAUGGGUAAUCUAUGUAACCAACAAUGGGAUCUUGAGUAUAAAAUGUCUCUCUGUUGUAACCAUUCAAUGGUGCAUCCACCUUGAAUCGGUAGACCAAAUCAGGGUUAGAGAUGAAAAGUCGACCAUACGAUAUCAAGUCUGUGUCUCCUCCAGCCAAAGCCUUCAUCCCAAGCUCUCGGGUGAAACCGCCGCUUAACAUGAAAGUACCUUGAUAAGCUCUCCUCCAAGUUCUUAUCAAUCGAGCUUCUUCAUCCUCCUCUUGUUCACCAUAAUUUUUCGUGCCAUUGGCUGUGAAUCGAGGUUGAGUCACAUGGAGAUACACAAGUUUGGAACCUAUCUCAUUUUGGAACUUGUUCGAUCGCUCAAUGACUGCUAGGCCUAAACUGAGUGGAUCGGAGUCCGUGGCAUCAUUGUGGUCAAUUGCUGGUGAGAUUCUAACUCCCAUUCGAUCAGUGCCAACUUCUUCAGCCACCACUUUGAUGAUCUCCAUCAAGAAUCUGCAUCUAUUCUCAAUUGAUCCUCCAAAUUCAUCUACUCUAUCAUUGAUUGAGUCCUUUAAGAAUUGAUCAAUGAGAUAGCCAUGUGCUCCAUGCACCUCAACACCAUCAAAACCUAAAGCGGAAAUUGAUUUGAUUAUUAAUACUUAUGUGCAACAAACGAAGUAAAUACAAGUAAUUUUAGCAUCUAUCACGAUAUGAUUAUAGUUCAUGGACUAACCUGCUCGAAUGGCAUUUGCAGCUGCUUGGCGAUAUUGCUCGAUAACCUGCCAUACUUCGUGUGUUUGGAGAGCUCUUGGUUUGUGAGGAACAUCGAGAGUCCCGUCAGGCAUGAUGAUUUUCCAUUUAUCGGAGACGGAUUGAUUUGUCGAUGAAAUCGGAGCGCCUCCAUCGGGUUGAUAAACUAAUACAAUCACCAUUAUAUAAUACCAAUUGUUGUUAGAAGCAAGUAUAGAAGGUGAAAUUUAAUAAGUUAACAUUGCCAAAGUAGGAAAAAAGUAUAACAGCAAAAACAGAUUGUCAAAUUCAAAUAGUGCAGGUCGUGAUUAUGUGAUAUAUGGGGGAGCUACAGAAAUAUUUGGUGGCGUCGGUUUGAGAAAAUGAAUUUAGUACCACGGUUGGAGGCACGACCAACGUGCCAAAGUUGACAGAAGAUGAUGCCGCCCUUGGAAUGAACAGCAUCCACCACCUUCUUCCAUGCUUCGACUUGCUCUUCAGUGUAAAUCCCUGGAGUACCCGGAAACCUGGUUUAACAACAUUUUAUUUCUCAAACUUAAAGAUCCUCCUAUGAUCCAGAGCGAAGUUCAUAUUACUUGCUGUCAAGCAAUGAAUAGGGUAUAAAUAGCUUGCGGUGCUCGGGUGUACAUCGGUAUGUAGAAAAUUUCAGUUCCUUUCUGCGUGAUAUAUACAAGACAGCUUGAUCUCAGGACAAUAGGACGUACCCAGCGGCCGUGUCAGAGAUGAGGGUGCCUUCGGUGAUGAGAAAACCACCCUUGGUCGUUCUUUGCGCAUAGUACUCUGCAUGCACCGGCAAUGGAAUCCCAUUGAUCGCUCUGCAUCUCGUCAUAGGCGCUAGCACUACCCUGUGAGAGAGAUCGAACUUGCCCAUCUGGCAUGGAGUGAAGAGGUUCGCGGCCAUUUCGUGCGUAGCUUGUAUUCUGUCAAGAACGAACAACAAGGAUUGAUACUAAGAAUAUGAUGGUGAAGAUUUG